GUAUUGGAUUUUUAGCAAAAAUCAAGUUGUUAGUCAAAUCAGUUUCCAACAAUUGCAAACAUGCAAGUUCUAAAAGCAGUUUUACAGCAUAGUUGCUAUGAACAACAUAGUAAACAAAAUGAAAUAUUCCCAUGUAGGGAGCUUGACUUGCAACUUGAUUUUUGCUAAAAAUCCAAUACUUUGAAUUUAUUUUUUUAAAUUAUUAAAGAAAAGAAAACUAACAAGCCUAUUUUCUUAUUUGUGUGAAGAGUUCUGGAGGUUUUCCAGUUCCUCCUGCACUGCCACCAAAAGCUGAGAAACCACCGGUUCCUUGUUGGUUGCCGCCUGCAUUACCGCUGAAAGCCGAGAAACCACCAACUCCCUGCUGGUUAUUGAAACCCCCAAAUCCACCACCUGCUCCAGCAAAACUACCACUUCCAGGAGCAGCAGCAGCAGCAAAACCACUGCUGGCUGAAGCCAUGCCACCAAAUCCACCAGCACCAGAAGCAACACCAGCAAACCCCCCACCACCAGAGGCCAAACCUGCAAAGCCACCACCAGUAGAACCAACACCAGCAAAUCCACCACCAGUUGCAGCACUUGAAAAACCACCCAUGGAACUAGUACUAGCAAAGCCACUAGGUAAACCAGCACCAAAUUGUCUCGACUGCCCAAAAGAACCCAGAACUGAUCCCAGUGCUGCUUGACCUGCUCCAAUCUGUGCUGGCUGGCCAAACCCACCUGGUGCAGGACCUUGACCAACUGCUCCAGCACCAAAACCAACAGAGAAUGCACCCAGAUUUGUUGGCAGUGAUGGUUGGGAAGGCUCUGGCGAUUGAAAGCUAGAUGAAGCAGGCCGAAAGAGUUCUCCACUAGGCAGAGUCAUAUUGAAUGAAGAGCUUGCUUGAUUUGUUGCCACAUUUCCAAAUGAGCCACCAAAUGGAUUUGAUCUAGGAGCAGCCGAGCUAGGGGUUGAGCCAAGACCGAAAGCUCCAAAGUUGCCCAAACUAAUUUCAUUUGUGCGGCUAGUCUCAGGAGCCUCCUCCUCCAUUUCAUCCUCUUCCGUAAUUGCAACAUCCAAAUUUGCAUUCUUUCCACUAGCGGCGUCAUCAGAAGCUAGUGGUACCCCAAAAGGAACAUGUGCAUCAGCUGGCUGUUUAGGUUGCACAUUCAGCUCUACACCAGAUGCAGGACUUGCCACGCUCAAACUGGACUGAUUUCCAGACCCAAACCGACUUGAAAUUUCACUUGUAAGGAUGGAAGGCUUCAAAUUAAAUGCAGGAGGAUCAAGCUGCGUAUGAGGAACUGUUAUAGCAGUAUCAACAUCUGCUCUUGAGCUAAAUUUGUCUGCAGAAGGUUGCAGCUGUAUUUUAAUAGACUCUGAUGUAAAAUGAGAAGUUGGAUCAGAAGGUGGAGUUUUGCCUGCAGGGGGUUGAGGAACUGGUUUAGGAGAGACUGACGUUAAAGGUUGAGUGUGCAAAGGUGAUUGUGACUUGGGAGCCUGAACUGAGAAGGAACAAGAAGGGGAAACUGAAGAUGAAAAGGAUGUUAAAGGGACUGUUUGAUUAACAUCAAUGUUGUCUUUAGGAGUGAUCAAAGACGUGCCAAAUGGCUUUGCAGCCAACGAGGAUGGUCCAGUUGAAGAUGGAGUAGAUGCAGAAGAUGCAAUGUUUAAUGAUGAGCUAACCAUUGGAGAUGAAGAAACUGAAAGUGGCAUUGAGAAUGUUUGAAAAAAUGAUGUUUUUGCACCAGGUUGGCUUCCGCUAGCUGCAAUGUUGAACUGGGGAACUUUUCCAGGAUGGGAGGGACCUGCUGGAGCAGCAGUGUUGAGAAGAGGAAUCGACGAAUCAUAACUUUUUGUACUACUUGGUCCAUGAUUUACAGUUUCAAUAGUCGAAUUUGUAAGCACAGUCUCCCUCAUUUCACUUGACUUCAUCAUCAGUGGUGUCUGUGCAGGAAACUCAAUUGAGACUGAUGAUUUUUUAUGUGGGUUAGCUUCAGAUUGCUGAAUAGACUUGGUGUCAUCGAUCAACACAGAAUCAGACUUCCCAAUAGAGGAAACCAUACCACUUAAUUUAUCUGCAGUAAUAUUGCUAGUUUCCCUGGCAAGGAUUUGCGCUGUUACAGGCAAUGCUUGGGAUGGUGAAAUUGCUGGCAACACAGCAUUGCUACUGUGUGAUAUAGAAGGCCUCAACCCUGUAGCUUUAGAUGUGGGUUGAGAUGGUGGAGGAGAGUCAUUAGCCCAUUUAGAUGGAGUUGAUUUGUUAUCGAAGGCCUGUUUUGGAAGCAUAUACUGAAUACCUUUGUUUCCAGAUGGGUACAUGAAGGUGGAAGGAGAUGUGAGGUCCUUAGGGUGACUGACUGCUGAGCUAUCCACCAAAGAUGGGCCGAGUUGUUGCCUAUCCAUCAAGGAUGAUUUAUUCACACUUGUCUUUUGACUUUCUUGCAAAAGUACCCUCUUUACAGUUGUUUUUGCAGGUUCAAAACUCACCCAGCUCUGAUCCAGCGAGUCUCUCCUUCUCCUCACAGUUUCUGAAUCAGAACUAUUCAUAGCGCUUGAUUGGAGCCUUCUUGACUGAGAUUUAUUAGCAGCAGAACCAGAAGAAAUUAAAAGUGUCUUCAAUGAAGAGGAAUUGCCAACUUUUGUUGCAUCUGGAGAGCUGAAAGCGGGGUCAUAGGGGAUUCCAAUUGUUUCAAAGAGUUCCUUCUUCACAUUCUUUUGUUUUACAGGUGAUUCUAUGCUCAGUACAGCCAUUUGUUUUGAGAGGCGUUCUGAAAGUUGUUCAGCAGCUGCUAAUUGUGAAUAUGUUGUGUUAUGUAAAGUAUGCAAGGAUUGAACUUCUCUUGAAGGCCCAUAUCUAUUUUGAAAAGCUCUCCGACCUGUCACAUGAACUCCAGAAUCACCAAACUUAUGGAGUUCAAGGGUAUUGAAGUGCCUCUCCAAUUCAAUUAACCGAUUGGUCAAAACCUGAUUUAGUUUUAAUAUAUGGCGCCUCUUCAGCUCAAGUUCAGAACUCAACUUUUGGCGAUUCCAGAGUUCCCAAUAUUGGUUAUCAGAGGCUUGCUUAACAAUACCAUCAAUGUAUAUUUUCCUUGCCAGAACUUGCACAGUUUUAUCCAGAAGAUGUCUGAUCUCUCCAAGCUGCUCAUUCAUCAUGCUCGUCCACAUUCUGCAUUUUUCAGAAAGAGUUUGCAUGUGCUCCUCCAAAGCUUCAAUUGAACCCCUUUGGGAAACAGUGCAGGCAUCCCUGAAGCCACCUGGUUCUUCAAUAGAUUGCAAAAGUGAAUCCAAUUCUUUGGCCAUCUCUUUAAUAUUGCCAAAUUGUCUUGAUAAGUAUGACUUAGAAUUUGAUAGGGAUGGAGCUCUAUGAGCAUCCUUUGAAGAAAAAGGACUACGGUUGGCAAACCCUCCCAAAGCAAAGGUUUCUUGAGAUGGUAACUGUGAAUUACGAAUAGAAGGCAAUGGCUCAAUUGUCCCUGUCAUCACUGAAGCCUUCUGUCCCACAAUCUGGGUGGGUCUAAUGGAUAAAUUUGUUGAAGGAGAUUCAUAGAUAAUAUCCUUAAAGUGAAAACGUUUUCCAGUAAGGUCCACGGGAAUAUUUCCAGCAUCAACACUAAUGCCAGUUUUAUCAGAUUUAUUUCCUUGAAUUAGAGAAGGUAAAAAUGGACCUCUGCUUUCAUAACACCCUGAAAACAUAACCUUUUCACUUGACAAUGACUGAGAUG
Molecule: unclassified non-coding RNA, 3705 nt
Filed under: Hevea brasiliensis (rubber tree)
Lineage: Eukaryota; Viridiplantae; Streptophyta; Magnoliopsida; Malpighiales; Euphorbiaceae
Source: RNAcentral